CAAAAUACUCGCUAAAAACAUAUAAUAUUUUAUAAUUUUGUUGUAUGGACAAUUUGAAUCUUGAUAUAAUUGUUGGAUAGUCUGUGUUGUCGUAGGGCGAUUAAUUGCGCAGUUUCUGUCGACGGAGAUCCGUGUUUGAUGCAGAGUUAAUGCAGAGGAGGGUAUCUUGCUUACCUAUUAAGGCAGUUUCGGUGAUAGGGUUGUCUUCUUCCUCAAAUUCAUAAAACCAUUCUAAAUUAACAGGGCGUAAAUUCGCGGGAGCUUCGCAACCAUCAGGGCUUCUUUCUCUGACGGGGUCGAUAGGGCCUAGCUAGAAUUUAUCACAAUCAGAUAAAGAUUAAAGCGACCAGAGCCAAGGAGGUGAUUGCCACGAAAAGAGGAGCUAUAGAGGUCAAACAGGUUUACAUCUUUAUAGCUGGUAACUGGAAGGACUGCAUAUCUGGCUUAAUUAUCCAGUAGCGCCCAGUUCGGUCAAAGGACGACUUGGUGUCAAGCAGCGAUAACAAGGGAAAAUCGCUGUAGAUUGCGCCUGGGAACGCAAGCUUGGAAGAUGAUAUCGAAUAUACCGGAGGCCACCGGAAGUUGUUUCUUCAAGAAGGAUCAGAGUGGCAUCAACAUCGGGAUCGCAUAACCCCAGGUUGAAUCCAAGAGAGGGCGAUGGCAGUGGCACUUCAAAAGCUGGAUUUGCACUGAAAGCCAUUCCUGUGGCCUUCUCUAUAAAGAAGAGGAGUACAGGAAAUUCAAAUCGGGCUCAAACAAAGGCAGUGGAAAAGUCCGAUAUAAAUUGCGAAACUCAAGAUACUACCACAAAUACAUGCUUGUCCUCUUUUUGUGCAGCUUAUGGUAGUGACUCAAGUGAAUGGAAGAGGCAUAUUUGUGUAUUUGCACAAAGGAAUCACUUUUUUGGCUACAGUCCAUCAAGUGGGGUAUCCUUGUGACCAAGCCCAGCGCCCAACCUGUCUUGUCUUGUUAACUAUUGAAUAAAUUAUGGAUUAAGGUGGCAAUGACAACAACCACAGCCAAAGCCUUGAUUUUUCUUGGGUUAAGGGUUAAGAAAUUUGAUGCUCCUAGUCAUGAAUAUUUCGAUUGUAAUCUUCUGUUGGAGGAAUUCAGUGUUAUCCCACAUUUAAAAUAUGAAAGAGGUUUAUAUUCAAUUAUUUUCUAUUGGAUAAGGGUAAGAUGAAUUUUUAAAAGGGGCCCAAACCUUUUUACAACCAAAAGACGCAGAAACAGCAGAAAUUACAUAAAAAGAACAGCCCAGCUAAGAACUGGGCAAGAGAAAUGCUGACUUCAUCAAAGUUAAAAGAAGACAAGAACCCAAUACCCACACAAGCCAACAAUCCAGAGUGAAUAAGACAGAGUUCAGAGCAACAACUGCAUUCCCCUCCAUGAGAAACUGCAAGUGAUCAGCCACAAAAUCUUGAUCAGACACCUCAAUCUCAAUCACCUUGCAAUUCCUCUGACUUUGGGUUUUAUUUCUUGGGUCAACAUGCGUAGGCCCAUCCUGUGGCCUUCUCCAUAAAGAAGAUGCAGAAAACUCAAAUGGAGCUCAAAAAAAGGCAGUGGAUAAGUCUGAUUUAAAUUGUGAAACUCAUGAUAGUACCCCAAAGACAUGUUUGUCCUCUCUUUGUGCAGCUUAUAGCAGUAACUCAAGUGAAUGAAAUGAGGCAGAUUUUUGUAUUGGUGCAAAGGAAUCACUUUUUGACUAUAGUGCAUAAUGUUCUAAAUUUAUAGAAUUUGAAAAUAUACUCAUUUUCUUGGAUUGUGCAUA
Long non-coding RNA from Cryptomeria japonica (Japanese cedar), 1771 nucleotides. RefSeq lists it as uncharacterized. The record is from RefSeq and is a predicted model, not a curated record. The transcript is spliced from 7 exons. Lineage: Eukaryota; Viridiplantae; Streptophyta; Pinopsida; Cupressales; Cupressaceae.